This 253-nucleotide ribosomal RNA is filed under the name uncultured bacterium. RNAcentral describes it as "partial 16S ribosomal RNA". It matches the Rfam family "Bacterial small subunit ribosomal RNA", at positions 524 to 776 of the family's 1533-position model. The record is from RNAcentral.
UACGUAGGGGGCAAGCGUUGUCCGGAUUUAUUGGGCGUAAAGAGCGUGUAGGCGGCCAGGUAGGUCCGUUGUGAAAACUGGAGGCUUAACCUCCAGCUGUCGAUGGAAACCAUCUGGCUAGAGUCCGGAAGAGGAGAGUGGAAUUCCUGGUGUAGCGGUGAAAUGCGCAGAUAUCAGGAAGAACACCCGUGGCUAAGGCGGCUCUCUAGUACGGUACUGACGCUGAGACGCGAAAGCGUGGGGAGCGAACAGG